RNAcentral lists this ribosomal RNA (492 nucleotides) under uncultured bacterium. RNAcentral describes it as "partial 16S ribosomal RNA". It matches the Rfam family "Bacterial small subunit ribosomal RNA", at positions 30 to 507 of the family's 1533-position model. The record is from RNAcentral.
AUUGAACGCUGGCGGCAUGCUUUACACAUGCAAGUCGAACGGUAACAGGCCUUCGGGUGCUGACGAGUGGCGAACGGGUGAGUAAUGCAUCGGAACGUGCCCAGAGGUGGGGGAUAACGCAGCGAAAGCUGUGCUAAUACCGCAUGUGAUCUGAGGAUGAAAGCGGGGGACCAGGCAGCAAUGUUUGGCCUCGCGCCUUUGGAGCGGCCGAUGUCAGAUUAGGUAGUUGGUGGGGUAAAGGCCUACCAAGCCGACGAUCUGUAGCUGGUCUGAGAGGACGACCAGCCACACUGGGACUGAGACACGGCCCAGACUCCUACGGGAGGCAGCAGUGGGGAAUUUUGGACAAUGGGCGCAAGCCUGAUCCAGCAAUGCCGCGUGCGGGAAGAAGGCCUUCGGGUUGUAAACCGCUUUUGUACGGAACGAAAAGGCUCUGGCUAAUACCUGGGGCUGAUGACGGUACCGUAAGAAUAAGCACCGGCUAACCACGUG